RNAcentral lists this ribosomal RNA (251 nucleotides) under uncultured prokaryote. RNAcentral's name for it is "partial 16S rRNA". It matches the Rfam family "Bacterial small subunit ribosomal RNA", at positions 525 to 775 of the family's 1533-position model. The record is from RNAcentral.
ACGGAGGAUGCAAGCGUUAUCCGGAUUUAUUGGGUUUAAAGGGUGCGUAGGCGGCUGAUUAAGUCAGGGGUGAAAUCCUGCAGCUUAACUUCAGAACUGCCAUUGAUACUGGUCGGCUUGAGUCUAGUUAAGGUGAGCGGAAUGCGUAGUGUAGCGGUGAAAUGCUUAGAUAUCACACAGAACACCAGAGGCGUAGGCAGGUCACUAAGCUAUCACUGACGCUGAGGCACGAAAGCGUGGGGAUCAAACAG